Molecule: ribosomal RNA, 438 nt
Filed under: Listeria fleischmannii subsp. fleischmannii LU2006-1
Lineage: Bacteria; Bacillati; Bacillota; Bacilli; Caryophanales; Listeriaceae
Description: bacterial LSU rRNA
Rfam family: Bacterial large subunit ribosomal RNA
Source: RNAcentral
AGGUUAAGUUAGGAAGGGCGCACGGUGGAUGCCUUGGCACUAGGAGCCGAAGAAGGACGGGACUAACACCGAUAGUGCUUUGGGGAGCUGUACGUAAGCGUUGAUCCAGAGAUUUCCGAAUGGGGGAACCCACUAUCUUUAGUCGGAUAGUAUCCUUAUGGUGAAUACAUAGCCAUAAGGAAGGCAGACCCAAGGGGAAACAGAAACAUGACUAAGUAACCGUGAGGAAGAAGAAAAGAAAAAUCGUAUUUCCUGAGUUAGGACGGCGAGCGAAACGGAAAGAGCCCAAACCCAAGAAGCUUGACUUCUUGGGGUUGUAGGACGACUCUUAUAGGAGUUACAAAGAAGGAUGAUAGAUGAAGCGGUCUGGAAAGGCCGCCAGAGACGGUAAUAGCCCGGUAGUUGAAAUGUGCUUCUCUCCAGAGUGGAUCCUGAGUA